RNAcentral lists this ribosomal RNA (253 nucleotides) under uncultured bacterium. Its description in RNAcentral is "partial 16S ribosomal RNA". It matches the Rfam family "Bacterial small subunit ribosomal RNA", at positions 524 to 776 of the family's 1533-position model. The record is from RNAcentral.
UACGGAGGGUGCGAGCGUUGCUCGGAAUUACUGGGCGUAAAGCGGACGCAGGCGGCCUGUCAGGUCGAGCGUGAAAUCCCGGGGCUCAACCCCGGAAUUGCGUUCGAAACCGACUCGCUUGAGUGUGGGAGAGGGAAGCGGAAUUCCUGGUGUAGAGGUGAAAUUCGUAGAUAUCAGGAGGAACACCGGUGGCGAAAGCGGCUUCCUGGCCCGACACUGACGCUCAUGUCCGAAAGCGUGGGGAGCAAACAGG